This 4114-nucleotide long non-coding RNA is filed under the name Sus scrofa (pig). Its description in RNAcentral is "lncRNA (ENSSSCG00060035440.1)". The record is from RNAcentral. Lineage: Eukaryota; Metazoa; Chordata; Mammalia; Artiodactyla; Suidae.
CCGCGCUCGGAGCUCGGAGCUCGGAGCUCGCAGCUCGCUUCGCCCUGCGCCUCUGUCGCCGCCGCCGCUGCCACCGCCACCCGCACACCCUUGGCGCGUCCACGCACCGCUCCGCUCCUUGCAGCCGGCACAGAGUGCGCUUAUCGCUCGUUCAGGGCAGAGUAUCCCCGUUGCAGCCCCUCGGCGAUGGCCACCAAGAUCGACAAAGAGGCUUGCCGGACGGCGUAUAACCUGGUGCGCGACGACAGCUCGGCCGUCAUCUGGGUGACUUUUAAAUACGACGGCUCCACCAUCGUCCCCGGCGAGCAGGGAGCGGAAUAUCAGGACUUCAUCCAACAAUGCACAGAUGACGUCCGAUUGUUUGCCUUCGUGCGCUUCACCACCGGGGAUGCCAUGAGCAAGAGGUCCAAGUUUGCCCUCAUCACCUGGAUUGGCGAGAACGUCAGCGGGCUGCAGCGCGCCAAGACGGGCACCGACAAGACCCUGGUGAAGGAAGUGGUGCAGAAUUUCGCCAAAGAGUUUGUGAUCAGUGAUCGGAAGGAGCUGGAGGAAGAUUUUAUCAAGAGCGAGCUCAAGAAGGCCGGGGGUGCCAAUUAUGACGCCCAGACGGAGUAACCCCCGCACCCCGCGCCUUGCCAAAGUCAUCUGCCUGCUCCCCGGGGGAGGGGACCGCGGCCUCAGCUACCAGCCCAUCAGCCCACCAGGGAGAGGAGACGCGAUGAGAGGCAACGCCCGCCACCCCGUCCGCAACCCAGCUCCCCUCCCCGCUUCCCCUUGUGCACCUGCUGUGUCCCGUCCCAUGAAGCUCAUGGAACAUCUUUCUUUGCUUUUUUUUCUUUUCUCCCCCUGACCCCUUUCUUGUUCUAAACAAAAAUCAUUUGGAUGCCAAGGUCACGCACAUCACCAGAUCGGAGGUGCCUCCUGCGGUGACCCUCUCCUGGCAUUUCUUAACGCACAGGCAGCCUGCCCGGCCUGACCCAUCAACCUCGCGUCGCUUCUGGCGCCUGGGCCAGUGUCGCUCUCUUGUUUUCUUUUUUUUUGGCGCCCGCCUGCUUCCCACGGAGGAGGCAGCCACGUGGGGAGCCCGUCCUCAUCGUGCCCUUGUCGAGCCCCGCUGGCCAGGCUCACACCUCCAGGAGUCCCUCCGGAGGCCCCCCCACCCCCCACCUCCAUUCCAAGUUGCCUAAGCUCCAUGUCCAUCAGAGACGGUGCUCGGUGGAGAGAUGGGCAGCCCUGACUCAGACCGAAGGAGGAGAGAGGAAAAUCUGCCACCCGUCAGAAGCGGCCCGUUCCCCAGCCUUGGGAUGGCGCUCUCGGGAUGGCGGGGGGUGGGGGCAGAGGUCUGAGUCCAGAUUCGACGGGAGGUGCUCAGGGCUCACAUCCUCGGGCUCCCCAAGUGACGAGGACAUUAGGGGUGCAGAAUGGGCAUUUAGGUCAAAGCGGUCCUCUGCACGACAGCACAGACAGCAGGGGACAGAGGCUCCCUGCUCCGUCACGGUCACCACAGCUGUGUGUGCAGCGCCCCCCCCCACUGGGGGGGGGAACCAGAAAGUCUAUGGUUUUAAUCCUCGGUGGCACCUCACACAAAAAGGAUUUUUUUUUUUUUCAAAGAAAGAUGAGGUUGGCUUGGUUCUUCAUGCCCAUGUUAGGUAGGGCUCUUUUUCUCUUUUCCUUGCUCGUUUCGUCGGGGGACGUCUGUGCUGUGCUGGGGUGGUGAAGGCAUCUGCACUCAAAACGGUUUACAGAAAUAAAUUUUUGUUUUGUUUUGUUUUUCAAAAAACAAGGCUGUCCGAUUUGUCUUAGAAAGCAUCUCGCCUUACUGGAAAAAACCAAGGCGGUUUUCCUAUUCAUGUUUAAUUGGCAUUUUCAGAGCUCUGGGGGGCUGGACGUAUUCACAUUCAGGGGCUUGUUUCAUUUUUAGCAACAACCGAAAGACACAGGGGCUGUUUGUAUCCUUGGCUUAUGGAAACGGAGGCUCCGGGAAACCCAGUGAUUCACCUGAGGCCACCCAGCUAGAAGGUGGCAGAGCUGGGAUCCGAACUCGGGUCCCCCGGUGGCCCUGGCACUGGAGCUCGUGAGGGAGAUGGAGAGGCCCUCGACUGGAGGCAGGGAGGAGACAGCAGGCAUGUGAUGGGGGUCAGAACCCUCCGCCCCGAGUGUUCGGGGGGAACUGGGAGGAAUUGUCCCGAGCUGGGCUGUGACAUCCUUUCUGAGGUUGUCCUAGAGCUUGAAAAUGGGAUUUCCAGCACGCCAGCCCCAGUGGGAAUGCAGAAUCAGGCCGGAGGAGUUUCAGAGGCACAGCCAGGUUUGGAGAAGCUGCGAGGGGGCGGGGAGGGUUCGGGGAGAGGAUAGAAACCCAAAUUGGGGGACAAAGGAAUCCUGUAGGGCGUGGGCAAGGCCAAGGUCACCCACUGUCGGCCACGCCCCUCUGCUCAUAGCUGUGUGGCUCUGGGCAAGUUACUUAACUUCUCUGGGCUCCCGUGGAAUCAGUGGCAAUAACUGCCUACUGUGACAGGUCGGAAGGCUUGAGGCGCAGCAAGGAUUAUGUGGGUGCCCAACAGGGCUCAGUCCUCAUCUCAUCAGGCCUGUCACUAGGUCUUGGGGACUCUGGGUGCCCCAGUUUUUUUUUCCUGUGCCUAGACCAGAGGGAGCCAAACUGGGUCUCUGCCUUCCUGGCCUUUGGGCUUUUUGCUUUCAGAGAACUUGGGACAAUUAGAGAUGUAGAUAAGUCCCCUUGGGAAGAAAAGCCAGAUUCUCUGGGAAAAAAAUUACAAAGGGCCUGGGCCUGGUAAGGGCCAUCCAGGAGGGCUUCCCUGAGGAGGUGACAGAGAAGCAGGCAAAGGGCUGGAGGGACAAGCAGACCAGGGACAAAGUCUGUGGGCAGGUUUGCGGAGGGUGGCGCUGGGUUUGUGUGUCAAGGAGCAUUUUUUUUUUUAAUUUUAAAAAUAAAGUAUAGUUGAUUUACAGUAUUGUGUCAAUUUCUGUUGGACAGUGAGGUGACCCAGUGCCACAUAAAUACGUAUAUUCCCUUUCUUGGAUUGUCUUCCAUCGUGUUGUAUCCAAAGGGACUGGAUGUAGUUCCGAGGGCUGUACAGCCAGACCUCACUGCUUAUCAUUCUAAAUGUUACAGUUUGCAUGACUAACCCCAAGCGCCCUGUCCACCCCGACUCCCUCCCUUCUCCCCCCUUGGCGGCCACAAGUCUCAAGGAGCUUGGUUUUAAUCGAAAGCUGCAGCUCAGGCCUUUGCUGGGAUUUCUGAAAGCGCCUGAUGGGAUCUCAGGUCUUCAAGGGCAGAAAGUCCUUGCCUUUAUCUCUUUAUCCCCUGGAGCUAGCAUCUAGCACGUGUCUGGUCGUGUUGCCUGGAGCUGCCUCCACCUGCUCCUGUCCCUGCCCAAGGCCUGGAUGCCUGUCUGGCCUCCCUCAGGGGCUGGCAGGGGCUGGGGGCUCUGGAGACGGGCAUCUCCUUGCUCACAAGUGGUCUUUCAGCAGCUGGUCGAGCCCACCCCCAAACGAUGGUGUGAAACGGCCACCAUGUUGAUUUUGGGGGACAGGGAUCUAGGAAAUGCUGGGGGAGCUGAUUCUUACAGGCAGGAGCUCUGCGUUGGUCAGAUCGCCUGGGCUGGAUGCCCAAGCCCACUGGGCCCGCAGCUGAUGGGCUGUGGAUCGACAGGGUCAAGGCCAGGACCUCCCUAUGCGACAGCCGGCUUCCCCAGGGUGAGCAUCCCAGAGGACGAAAGUGAGGCUACCUGGCCUUCGCUGACCCAGCCUCUGGAGUUACAGAGCAGCAUUUCUGCUGGGGGGCGGGGGGGGGGAUUGAUCAUGAGUCCCCACACUCGAGGGGAGGGGACAUUGACCCCCAUCUUUCGGUAGAAGAAGUGCCAAGUCAUGGGACCUACUUUUUUUUUGUCUUUCUAGGGCCACACCCGUGGCAUACGGAGGUUCCCAGGCUAGGGGUCUAAUUGAAGCUGUAGCCGCCAGCCUACGCCAGAGCCACGGCAACGCCAAAUCUGAGCCAUGUCUGUGACCUACACCACAGCUCAUGGCAACACUGGAUCCUUAACCCACUGAGGAAGGCCAGGGAACAAACCUGCAUCCUCAUGGAUGCUAGUCAGAU